Long non-coding RNA from Mesocricetus auratus (golden hamster), 3177 nucleotides. RefSeq lists it as uncharacterized. The transcript is spliced from 2 exons. NCBI's taxonomy places the organism in Eukaryota, Metazoa, Chordata, Mammalia, Rodentia, Cricetidae. The record is from RefSeq and is a predicted model, not a curated record.
UGGAAAAUAAGGGGAGGAUGGGGGAACACACAAACUGAUGACAAAGUCGCAUCAGGCUAUGGAUACAAGAAUUAAGAUGCCCCUCCCUACAGGUGGUCCUUGGGACUCCACAGAAGGCAACCAAGGCCUCCUGGGGAAGGCAGGCCAAGGUCUCCUCUCUUGGGGUCUAUAUCUAAAGCCUUGGCCUAGAAAUCCUGAUCCUAGUACCUUUGGCCCCAGAGGGUAUGAAGGGAUAAGCACAAAUCAGUCUCCACUUCUGGAGUCACAGUUUGCUGUAACCUUGUGAAGGUGUCUGGGAGCUGAAACUUCCCUCCCUGGCUCUCUGUGUCUCUAGGUUACCAGGCUCCUCUCAGCCAAAGCCACUCUCCCCGAUCCCAGCUUCCUCCUCACUUCCUCUAGUUUGCAGCACUGGGGAGUCUGACCCCUUCCUGCUGGAUAGGCCUUUCUUCUAUCUAGCUCAUCCUUCCUCGGAGAAGGUGUGACAAUGCUAGCUUUAGAUCCCUAUGGUCUUUAUCUUUUGGUGCCUCUUUAAGAGAAUACUGGGAUGGUUUUUGGCUUUGAUUUUAGGACAGAUUUGCAGAAAUUUGAGAAAAACCUGGAGCAGAAACCCUCCCGCAUCCCUGAUUUGUCUAUUGGAUCUCCUGAGAGGAAACACUUUACAAAGAAUUCUAAAGCUACAUUUGCUUAGGAGACACCAAUCUAAAGUUGACACGUUAUUUGCUAUUUGAGAUCAAAAUGAAGGACACAAGAGACACACUCCAUUAUUAGAGGUUCGGUCAACCGGAAAGUUUAGCAUUGGCUUGAUUCAGCAGUGAUGAACUUAUAUUGAAAUGUUCUACCAGCGAGUGAAAGAAAUUAAAUAAGCAAAUAUACUGAAAUACUAUCCAAAAUGCUUCAAGAAGUCUCAGCAAUGAAGGAAGCAGAAAUAGAAUGAGAACUUAUCAAAUAAGAGGGACAGACGAUCAGGGGUGCACCUAGAUAUCCACUAAGUUGGCAUCAGGUCACUAUUGAAAAGAAAUACAGACACUUAAACUAUGGUAGCAGAUGAGGCAAAAGCUGUGCUGUCUGACUGAGCCCCGCUCUUCCUCCCUUCCUUUAAGGCACCGUUAAAGAAAGUUCGGAAAGGCAAAUCUGUGGGGUGGGGGUAAGGGUUCAUGCAAUCCUUGACCCACCCCUUCAAUAACAUACAUGCUUUACUUCCACCCGAGCCAAUUUCUUGAGACAUUGAGAGGGUGGCUGAAACGAAGCCACACCUUCCAAAAGCCACUCACUUGAAGAGACACCAGAAAACUUUUUGUUAAGGUAGGUUUCCAAACUGGGUGCCGCCGAAGGUGAGCUCAAGUCCCAGAGACACAACCAUACAGUGCAGUCCACGCUAGACAGCAAAGUAGGGAGGAAUGGAGGAAGGUGGUUUCAGGCAUCUUAGAACAGGCUGAGCCAGAAAACGUCUUCAUCUUUCCCAAUACCCUUAGCCCACUUCUUUUUAGAAACAAGCUAGCCAAACCGCGGAAGAAGCAUGUUAUCACAGAUUCACAUUUCCCAAUGGGCUUCCCGUUCCCCACUAAUAAAAUCGUCUGCUCACCCUGCUUCACACUAAUAACUGGGGAGGGAUAGGGAGGAGGCGGGGAAGCUAUGCCCAGAUUCAAGGCAGCGUCCCCCAACUCCCUUGUUUAUAGAAAUGAAGGUCUGUCUCGCUUACUUAGGCUCGGGAAAGAGGUCAGCCUAUAUCAGCACGGUUCACACAGAUUGUGGAUUUUUCCCCCUUCCCUUAUCUUAAAUUGACCUGCUUUUAAGAUAAAGACAUAAUAGAGAAAGCAUUGACCUUACCUGGUCCCUAAUGAGUUGGAACUCAGAAAACCUCUCUCUCAUUUCCUCUUGUCUGGGAUCGCCUGAGAAGAGACCCAUGCUUUCCUUGCGACAGCUCCGCAGCGCUCACCGCCGCCCAGACUCCAGGCAGCUCGGAGGUUAUAUGGCCUCUGUAAGUCUGUGAAUCUUCCUGGGCUUUCAAAAUCAAAGACUAUGAAGCCACAUCCAAGCAUCGUCACUGGAGCUUCCAGGUCCAGACUCAGAAGCAUUUACAAUCUCUUGGAAGACUCCCAAGCAAGUUUUUCCCUACGAAAGGCCAAGUCCUGAGCUUGUCUCCUCCAAAGCGCUGUCUCCUCGAGGCCCUGACCGCCCGAAGGUUUGGACACUGUCCGGAUGCUCGCUUAACUGGACCGAGACUCAGCUUACCUUGCUCAUGCGGGCCCCAAGCUAUUUCCACCGGGCUAUUCCCCCCCCCCCCCAGGGUGUGCCCGCAAGCUGGGAUCUAUCUUUCCCCCUGGCCUUGAGGACCCCAGCUGUGUCCUUAUAGGUGAUCACAGUAUCUCAGGACCCCUUCCUUCCCUGCUCAGGGCAUCUCUGUCCUGUUGUUUUCGCCUCUUCUCUGAGCCCAGCCCAGUCCACCGCCAGUCAGCUGAGAGAACUGCUUUCCCUUCUCCUUGGCCCCACAGCUCCGGGUUCCCAGGCUGGGGCGGGGGUGGGGAGCCGCUUUGGGAUGCUAAACAUCAAACAAGCCAAGCCUGGGGUUUCAGGCCCCGAUGCCACUAGAGCUGCUCUCCAGGGCUCUCGAGAAAGUCCUCGUGUUUACAUGGCGGGGUUGGGGUGGGGUGGGGGAAGAGGAGCAAAGCGGAGGAUGCUGUCUGAAGAAUCCCCCCCACUGCCUGAACCUUCGAGGCCUGGGGUUGGGUGGGGUACUUGUCAGCGGACAGUUUCUAAGGCAUUUGUUCUGUAGGUUCAUUGGGGAAGUUGUUUCCCUCUUCUAACAUCUCAGUGCCAGGGGCAUCUCCGAAAUACUUCUGUCUUCUCCUGGGAGGUCAGAACCGACUUGAGCCUGAGUUAUUGAAAGCGUAAAAUAAGCGAGUGCCCCUUCCAGAUGCUCACCUGUAGCAGGUUGUGUAGGAGGAGAGUGUCCCCAAGCUGUGGGAAGCUCUCACCUUGAGCUAGUUUACUAAAGAGAGAGCCCCAAUCUGGGUCCCAAGAUUGCUUCAGCAGCUGCCACAAGUUCCUUAGGCAGGAGCUGGAGGAGUCGGGGUGCCUGAUGAUAAGAAAGGCUAAAGCUCUGUUUGUUGGUUCUCAUUCCCCAAGGCGCCUCAGAAUUCACCUAUUCCAGAGACAAAUAAACAGACUUCUAACUAA